UACAGAGGGUGCAAGCGUUUAAUCGGAAUUACUGGGCGUAAAGCGUGCGCAGGCGGUUUUGUAAGUCUGUCGUGAAAUCCCCGGGCUCAACCUGGGAAUUGCGAUGGAGACUGCAAGGCUAGAAUCUGGCAGAGGGGGGUAGAAUUCCACGUGUAGCAGUGAAAUGCGUAGAGAUGUGGAGGAACACCGAUGGCGAAGGCAGCCCCCUGGGUCAAGAUUGACGCUCAUGCACGAAAGCGUGGGGAGCAAACAGG
RNAcentral lists this ribosomal RNA (254 nucleotides) under uncultured bacterium. RNAcentral describes it as "partial 16S ribosomal RNA". It matches the Rfam family "Bacterial small subunit ribosomal RNA", at positions 524 to 776 of the family's 1533-position model. The record is from RNAcentral.